UAGUCGCCGCGGUAAUACAGAGGGUGCGAGCGUUAAUCGGAAUUACUGGGCGUAAAGGGCGCGUAGGCGGUUAGGAAGGUGUGAUGUGAAAGCCCUGGGCUUAACCUAGGAAGUGCGUCGCAAACCAACUAGCUGGAGUAUAAGAGAGGGUGGCGGAAUUUCCGGUGUAGCGGUGAAAUGCGUAGAGAUCUGAAGGAACGUCAAUGGCGAAGGCAGCCACCUGGCUUAAUACUGACGCUGAGGCGCGAAAGCGUGGGGAGCGAACAGGAUUAGAUACCCCAGUAGUCCCUGUCUCUUAUAA
Molecule: ribosomal RNA, 301 nt
Filed under: uncultured bacterium
Lineage: Bacteria
Description: partial 16S ribosomal RNA
Rfam family: Bacterial small subunit ribosomal RNA
Source: RNAcentral